AUUGAACGCUGGCGGCAUGCUUUACACAUGCAAGUCGAACGGCAGCGCGGGCUUCGUCCUGGCGGCGAGUGGCGAACGGGUGAGUAAUACAUCGGAACGUGCCCAGUAGUGUGGGAUUGCGCGUCGGCAGCCGGAUUAAUACUUCAUACGAUCUGUGGUGUAUACCUGGGGAUCUUCGGACCUCGCACGAUUUGAGCGGCCGAGGGCGGGUUAGCUAGUUAGUGGGGUUAUGGCCGACCAAGGCCACGAUCGGUAUCUGGUCUGAGAGGGCGACCAGCCAGGCUGGGACUGAGACACGGCCCAGACUCCUACGGGCGGCAGCAGUGGGGAGUUUUGGACAAUGGUCGAAAGCCUGAUCCAGCAAUGCGGCGUGUGUGAGGAAGGCCUUCGGGUGGUAAAGCACUUUUGGCGGGAACGGCAAGGACUGUGCCAAGACCGCGGCUCGAUGACGGUACCCGCAGAAUAAGCACCGGCUAACUACGUG
Molecule: ribosomal RNA, 484 nt
Filed under: uncultured bacterium
Lineage: Bacteria
Description: partial 16S ribosomal RNA
Rfam family: Bacterial small subunit ribosomal RNA
Source: RNAcentral